Molecule: transfer RNA, 85 nt
Filed under: Hydrogenimonas thermophila
Lineage: Bacteria; Pseudomonadati; Campylobacterota; Epsilonproteobacteria; Campylobacterales; Hydrogenimonadaceae
Also listed under: 5 other names
Description: tRNA-Leu
Rfam family: tRNA
About the family: Transfer RNA (tRNA) molecules are approximately 80 nucleotides in length.
Source: RNAcentral
GCGGACGUGGUGGAAUUGGUAGACACGCCAGACUUAGGAUCUGGUGCCGCAAGGUGUGGAGGUUCAAGUCCUCUCGUCCGCACCA